CCAUUGAUCUGCUGAGUGGACUAAAGAUGGGGGAGCAAGGUGGUUGGCUGGAGGCUAAUAGUGGAGACUGGGUGGCCAACUUGGAUUCCCAGACCUAGACAGGUGCAGCCAAGGACUCUGGGGAUGACAUCACUGAGCAGGCCAGGACCAUAGGCGACAUAGUGGAGGUCAGUGGAUGGGACAGCGUCCUCAACUUUGAGCUGCGGUACAAUACUCUUAACCAGAAACAGACAGUCAAACACAAAACAACAUCCAAUCUUAGUCUCCAUGACAGCAAACUGUCUGAGAACAGGCAGAGGCGUAGAUUUGGUCUGCGGGGACAGGGAGGUGUCCGUAUGUGGUGGGAGAGAACAGACACAGACUCGGCUAGCGAUGCUCCAUCCUGCUCCUAUAGUUGUGAUUCAGAGAGACUGAUGGCACCUCAGGUUAACCCCCUAGCAGGUUCUGCCUUCUGCCUGCCUUCUAAAAGAUCCAUCAACUGGAACAUGGACCCUGCGACAACACAGACACUCCCUGGACUUCGUCCUUCUCACACUCUCCUAAUGUUAAAGCAGACCUCAGACAAUGCCAGUGCCUCAACACCAAAUGGCUACACAAGCCCAUUGACAAAUGACAGUAGUAGAGACAGAAUCAGUAAAGAUGGCAGCGCCUAAGAGAAGCGCUUCCAUGUUCAUUCUGUGAGAAGWCSUUCAGUUUCCCCAUAGAGGUGGAGAUCCACCAGAGGAUGCACACGGUGGAGAAAUCAUUCAGCUGUGCCAGGCCAGUUUCUCCCACUCGUUCAACCUAAAGAGGCACCAUAUGGUCCACACAGGGGAGARAACCUACAGCUGUCCCCAGUGUGAGGAGGUUCUCCCACCAGCACCAGCUGAAGAGGCACCUGAAGGUCCACACGGGAGAGAGGCCAUUCACCUGUAAGCAUUGCGGGAAGAGGUUCUCAGAGGAGCAACCUCAGGAUACACAAACAGAAAAUGCACACAGUAUAGUAACAUGUAAUAAAUGACUAGUUAGUGUGUUUGUAGUUCACUCUGUUGGUUUGGGAUAUAGUAGGGAACUAGAUGAGGUGAACUGAGGAAAGAAUGAGUAUGAUGAGGCAGAGUAGAUGAUAUGGUUAUGGUUGGUGUGAUUCUGUCUGUAAAAAUGCUUCACUGAUGAAGAGUGACAACUAUGUCUCUUUAGGUUGAUACUGGUGUUUUAUAGUGAGAUAAUGAUAGUGCCUUAAUUCACUUGACAAAAUAGAUAAGAUCCAUGUAAUGUUGAACCCAAAGUAUUCUAAAAUGAAUUUGAUCAAAGCGAGGGUACCAGCUUUACAGAAAAGGUAAAGUGUUACCAUAGUGAGAAGUUAUUCUACUUGUAUUGUACAAAACGAUACAUAACAAGUACUAUACUUCAGGUUAUGUGACUAUGUCAAUUUUGUUGAAAUAAAAACUGUGCUGACUGA
Salvelinus sp. IW2-2015 is the source of this 1438-nucleotide long non-coding RNA. RefSeq lists it as uncharacterized. NCBI's taxonomy places the organism in Eukaryota, Metazoa, Chordata, Actinopteri, Salmoniformes, Salmonidae. The record is from RefSeq and is a predicted model, not a curated record.